RNAcentral lists this ribosomal RNA (253 nucleotides) under uncultured bacterium. RNAcentral's name for it is "partial 16S ribosomal RNA". It matches the Rfam family "Bacterial small subunit ribosomal RNA", at positions 524 to 776 of the family's 1533-position model. The record is from RNAcentral.
UACAGAGGUCCCAAGCGUUGUUCGGAUUCACUGGGCGUAAAGGGUGCGUAGGCGGUUGGGUAAGUUUGAUGUGAAAUCUCCGGGCUUAACCCGGAAACUGCAUUGAAUACUAUCUGGCUAGAGGGUUGGAGGGGGGACUGGAAUACUUGGUGUAGCAGUGAAAUGCGUAGAUAUCAAGUGGAACACCAGUGGCGAAGGCGAGUCCCUGGGCAACUACUGACACUGAGGCACGAAAGCUAGGGGAGCAAACAGG